CCAAGUAGAGUGAUCGAAAAGAUGAAAAAGCACUUUGAAAAAGAGGGUUAAAAAAGUACGUGAAAUUGUUGAAAGGGAAGCGCCUAUGACCAGACUUGGGCCCGGUGCAUCAUCCAGCGUUCUCGCUGGUGCACUUCGCCGGGCACAGGCCAGCAUCAGUUUGGCGCGGGGGACAAAGGCUCUGGGAAUGUGGCUCCCCCGGGAGUGUUAUAGCCCACUGCGUAAUGCCCUGCGCCGGACUGAGGUACGCGCAUCGCAAGGAUGCUGGCGUAAUGGUCAUCAGCGACCCGUCUUGAAACACGGACCAAGGAGUCGUCUUCGUAUGCGAGUGUUCGGGUGUCAAACCCCUACGCGGAAUGAAAGUGAACGCAGGUGAGAGCUUCGGCGCAUCAUCGACCGAUCCUGAUGUUCUCGGAUGGAUUUGAGUAAGAGCAUACGGGGCCGGACCCGAAAGAAGGUGAACUAUGCCUGUAUAGGGUGAAGCCAGAGGAAACUCUGGUGGAGGCUCGCAGCGGUUCUGACGUGCGAAUCGAUCGUCAAAUAUGGGCAUGGGGGCGAAAGACUAAUCGAACCUUCUAGUAGCUGGUUUC
RNAcentral lists this ribosomal RNA (590 nucleotides) under Blackwellomyces minutus. RNAcentral describes it as "partial large subunit ribosomal RNA". It matches the Rfam family "Eukaryotic large subunit ribosomal RNA", at positions 344 to 958 of the family's 3401-position model. The record is from RNAcentral. Lineage: Eukaryota; Fungi; Ascomycota; Sordariomycetes; Hypocreales; Cordycipitaceae.